Molecule: non-coding RNA, 829 nt
Organism: Odocoileus virginianus texanus
Lineage: Eukaryota; Metazoa; Chordata; Mammalia; Artiodactyla; Cervidae
Source: RefSeq, a predicted model, not a curated record
CCCCUACCGGGGGCUCCCUGACGGUUGGGCGCCGGUGGGCGGGCCCAGUGGGGCACUCACCAAUGGCGGAGCAGGACUCGCUGCCUGGUAACAGGACGCCAGGUAGUAACGGGCAGCAGUAGCUGCCGUGCUAAGGGCUGAACUCACUGUGCUGUUCCAACAGAAGCAGCUGCAGGCCAUUCUCAAUUCUCAAAUGCAGGUGGCCAGUGUGCGGCUUCCAUCCUCAAGGUGACCUCAUGACUCAGGAUGGCUGCUGAACCACACACACCCUUGUUUCUGGUUGUUGUAACCAUCAAGUUCCAUCUGUGGAAGUCCCUCCUAAGUAGAAAAGCACCAGGUAAAUGUAAAAAAGUAUUUCUAAAAUAUAACAAGCAAUAUGCAGGUAUAAACAUGUGGAGCAUUCAAAGCAACUGACUUUUACUAGUAGCCAGCAGGACAGCUUGGAAAACCACAGAUUUUCAGGUCAAAAAAGACCUGGAUUCAAGUCCCCAUCCUGCCACUUACAGCUUGAGGGAUCUUGGGCAAGUCACUUAAAUAUUUUUUAUGUAUUUCUGAGCCUCAAUCUUUUCAAUUAUAAAAUGGAGAAAAUAACACCUCCCCCACAGGAGACAACAAGUAAGAAGCAGUUCAUAGGGAAUACAACGAAGAGAACACAACGAAAUUUAAUUGUGACCUCAUAUUAAAAAUAUCAGUUAUUCUACUCAGAACACAUGGGAGAAAUUAUAUCUGUCUUUCCAGAGUUUACCAUAAUCACAUCAAACAGAGUAAAUUUAUUUAAUAUUUAUUAAACCCUAUCAAAUGCCAGCAGUAAAGAAUCCUCCUGCAAAAC